GAUCAACGCUGGCGGCGUGCCUAAUGCAUGCAAGUCGGACGGGGUGCGGUUCGCCGCACUCACGUGGCGGACGGGUGCGGAGCGCGUGGGCAACCUGCCCACUGGUGGGGGAUAGCCCUGGGAAACCGGGGGUAAGCCCGCCUACGCUCCCUGGACGGGUGGGUCUGGGGAGGAAAGCCCGUGAGGGCGCCAGUGGAGGGGCCUGCGGCCGAUUAGCUGGACGGUGGGGUGAUGGCCUACCGUGGCGAUGAUCGGUAGCUGGUCUGAGAGGACGGCC
Molecule: ribosomal RNA, 277 nt
Filed under: uncultured bacterium
Lineage: Bacteria
Description: partial 16S ribosomal RNA
Rfam family: Bacterial small subunit ribosomal RNA
Source: RNAcentral